CUUCUCAUAAAUCUAAAGAGAUGAAAAAAGUUUUCAUUCGACCACUUCAAUAUUCAUAGUGCUCACCUUCAAAGAUUGGCACUUGACUUGGUGAAUAAGUGAACAAGGAGGCUGCUGAAUUUGUUGCCAUAAUUUCCCUAUUUCUGUUAAAAAAUCUGCUGCUAUUAUGGUUUUUUUGAGGCUGGUUUUAUCUCAGCUUUUGGUAGGAAUUUGGUAGGAAUGGGUUUAUGAAUUUUACCUAAGCUCUGAUACCAUAAAUUUGUUGGAUGUAGAAGGAUAGAAAUUGGAGAAAUAUGAUAUUUUACUAAUGAAAUUUCGGGAUUACAAAUGAGUUGCUACAGCACACUAUUUCUCUCUAUUUUUU
This 364-nucleotide long non-coding RNA is filed under the name Olea europaea subsp. europaea. The record is from RNAcentral. Lineage: Eukaryota; Viridiplantae; Streptophyta; Magnoliopsida; Lamiales; Oleaceae.